CGCGCAGGCGGUCGAGUAAGUCGAAUGUGAAAGCCCCCGGCUCAACUGGGGAGGGUCAUUCGAUACUGCUCGACUUGAAGACAGGAGAGGGAAGCGGAAUUCCCGGUGUAGUGGUGAAAUGCGUGGAUAUCGGGAGGAACACCAGUGGCGAAGGCGGCUUUCUGGCCUGUUCUUGACGCUGAGGCGCGAAAGCUAGGGGAGCAAACG
Molecule: ribosomal RNA, 207 nt
Filed under: uncultured bacterium
Lineage: Bacteria
Description: partial 16S ribosomal RNA
Rfam family: Bacterial small subunit ribosomal RNA
Source: RNAcentral